Long non-coding RNA from Phyllostomus discolor (pale spear-nosed bat), 172 nucleotides. RefSeq lists it as uncharacterized. The transcript is spliced from 3 exons. Lineage: Eukaryota; Metazoa; Chordata; Mammalia; Chiroptera; Phyllostomidae. The record is from RefSeq and is a predicted model, not a curated record.
CUGCUUUUCGUCCAACAUCUUCUCAGGUAGCAGUGAGGUCCGGGGCUCCUCGAGUUUCACAGUGCUGCCCAAGGAUGACAAGAAGAAAGAUACUGUGAAGUCUGCCAAGAAAGACAAAGACCUAGUGAACAAAUCUGGGGGCAAGGCCAAAAAGAAGAAUGAUGCUGGGAAA